CGCGCCGCGCUCCGCCCCACAUGCAGGUAUUGAAAGGGCGACUCCGCUAGGACAGCUACACUGCUGCUGCGGCCUGCGACUCCACCACGACCACGCCCGCCCUGCAGCACGACCACCAGCUCUGUCUGUCUGUUUGCCUGUCACCGCAGAGAUCAUCGACACCAGCCGCGAUGAGGACUGCGCUUAUAGUAGGACUACUGACACUGCUGGCUCUGGACGUCUGUCAAUCCGAACUUAGAACAUGCACUCAGAUCGGCCCCUGUCUUGAUGGCCCCAACCCGGGGGAAUGCGUUUCUAGUGCUGAUGUGUGCGACGGUGGAAAUGAAUACAUAACAGAUGAUGACUGUGGUUUAUGCACGUGUUGCAAGACCUGUGAGCCAGACGAUUCGUGUGCCUGUAAGAAUGGGAUAUGCGUCAACCCAACUCACGUAUCUGGACUGACAUACUUUCCUCACGAUCUAUGUCCCGAGGGAUAUCGUCAUUUUAUGGAAGGCAAUUGCGGCACUGAUGACUACAUCUGCUGUGUUCUAAGGCCCUGACCGAGGACUGACCCUGCCCUGACCUGCCCUUGACCUGACCCGCCUCACCUUCAUGCACGUACUUCCUGCACGUGCGCCGUGCACGCUGAUCCUCUGCAGAGUAUUCAAUUAUCCUUCUUCUUGGGCUUGAUGCCAGAGCACCCUUCUGCAAAGAAAAAAAAAAAUGCACAAACGUAAAUAGAGAGAUUACAUAAAACUUAACAUUUCAGCAGACAUGAAUUGUGACUUUCCAAAUUCUAUGUAUGUUCAGCUCGCAAUAUGUGUGUACCAGCUGUUCAGAAUUAUGCUGCAAAUAAAAUAGAAACAAUC
Eriocheir sinensis (Chinese mitten crab) is the source of this 848-nucleotide long non-coding RNA. RefSeq lists it as uncharacterized. The transcript is spliced from 5 exons. The record is from RefSeq and is a predicted model, not a curated record. NCBI's taxonomy places the organism in Eukaryota, Metazoa, Arthropoda, Malacostraca, Decapoda, Varunidae.